UAAGUACUCCCUCUGUCUCAAAUUAGUUGUCUUAGAUUUCUCUAGAUAAGCAUGUAUUUAGAUAUGUUUUUUGUGUUAGAUACAUCCGUAUCUAGACAGAUCUAAAACAACUAAUUUGGGACGGGGGUAGUACCAU
Molecule: non-coding RNA, 136 nt
Organism: Hordeum vulgare subsp. vulgare (domesticated barley)
Lineage: Eukaryota; Viridiplantae; Streptophyta; Magnoliopsida; Poales; Poaceae
Source: Rfam